RNAcentral lists this transfer RNA (70 nucleotides) under Camelus bactrianus (Bactrian camel). It matches the Rfam family "tRNA". From Rfam's summary of the family: Transfer RNA (tRNA) molecules are approximately 80 nucleotides in length. Their secondary structure includes four short double-helical elements and three loops (D, anti-codon, and T loops). Further hydrogen bonds mediate the characteristic L-shaped molecular structure. tRNAs have two regions of fundamental functional importance: the anti-codon, which is responsible for specific mRNA codon recognition, and the 3' end, to which the tRNAs corresponding amino acid is attached (by aminoacyl-tRNA synthetases). tRNAs cope with the degeneracy of the genetic code in two manners: having more than one tRNA (with a specific anti-codon) for a particular amino acid; and 'wobble' base-pairing, i.e. permitting non-standard base-pairing at the 3rd anti-codon position. Lineage: Eukaryota; Metazoa; Chordata; Mammalia; Artiodactyla; Camelidae. The record is from Rfam by way of RNAcentral. RNAcentral also lists the same sequence under 2 other names.
GAGGGUAUAGCUCAGUGGUAGAGCACGUUUAGCGUGCACGAGGUCCUGGGUUCAAUCUCCAGUACCUCUG